Molecule: ribosomal RNA, 497 nt
Filed under: uncultured bacterium
Lineage: Bacteria
Description: partial 16S ribosomal RNA
Rfam family: Bacterial small subunit ribosomal RNA
Source: RNAcentral
GAUGAACGCUGGCGGCGUGCCUAAUACAUGCAAGUCGAGCGAACAGACGAGGAGCUUGCUCCUCUGACGUUAGCGGCGGACGGGUGAGUAACACGUGGAUAACCUACCUAUAAGACUGGGAUAACUUCGGGAAACCGGAGCUAAUACCGGAUAAUAUAUUGAACCGCAUGGUUCAAUAGUGAAAGACGGUUUUGCUGUCACUUAUAGAUGGAUCCGCGCCGCAUUAGCUAGUUGGUAAGGUAACGGCUUACCAAGGCAACGAUGCGUAGCCGACCUGAGAGGGUGAUCGGCCACACUGGAACUGAGACACGGUCCAGACUCCUACGGGAGGCAGCAGUAGGGAAUCUUCCGCAAUGGGCGAAAGCUUGACGGAGCAACGCCGCGUGAGUGAUGAAGGUCUUCGGAUCGUAAAACUCUGUUAUUAGGGAAGAACAAAUGUGUAAGUAACUAUGCACGUCUUGACGGUACCUAAUCAGAAAGCCACGGCUAACAACGUG